AGCGAACGCUGGCGGCAGGCCUAACACAUGCAAGUCGAACGAACCUUUCGGGGUUAGUGGCGGACGGGUGAGUAACACGUGGGAACGUGCCUUUAGGUUCGGAAUAACUCAGGGAAACUUGUGCUAAUACCGAAUGUGCCCUUCGGGGGAAAGAUUUAUCGCCUUUAGAGCGGCCCGCGUCUGAUUAGCUAGUUGGUUGAGGUAAUGGCUCACCAAGGCGUCGAUCAGUAGCUGGUCUGAGAGGAUGAUCAGCCACAUUGGGACUGAGACACGGCCCAAACUCCUACGGGAGGCAGCAGUGGGGAAUCUUGCGCAAUGGGCGAAAGCCUGACGCAGCCAUGCCGCGUGAAUGAUGAAGGUCUUAGGAUUGUAAAAUUCUUUCACCGGGGACGAUAAUGACGGUACCCGGAGAAGAAGCCCCGGCUAACUUCGUG
Molecule: ribosomal RNA, 434 nt
Filed under: uncultured bacterium
Lineage: Bacteria
Description: partial 16S ribosomal RNA
Rfam family: Bacterial small subunit ribosomal RNA
Source: RNAcentral